AAUUCCCGUUGAUCCUGCGGGAGGUUGCUGCUAUUGGGAUUCGAUUAAGCCAUGCAAGUCCAGGGGUUCUUCG
Molecule: ribosomal RNA, 73 nt
Filed under: Candidatus Woesearchaeota archaeon
Lineage: Archaea; Nanobdellati; Candidatus Woesearchaeota
Description: partial 16S ribosomal RNA
Rfam family: Archaeal small subunit ribosomal RNA
Source: RNAcentral